Long non-coding RNA from Xiphophorus maculatus (southern platyfish), 95 nucleotides. RefSeq lists it as uncharacterized. NCBI's taxonomy places the organism in Eukaryota, Metazoa, Chordata, Actinopteri, Cyprinodontiformes, Poeciliidae. The record is from RefSeq and is a predicted model, not a curated record. The transcript is spliced from 2 exons.
CUGCACUGAAACAGAAAGAAGAUGAACUAGAAUCAGUUAAUAAAAGACUGGCUGAAACAGAGACUACUCAUGAAAAGAAAAUCCAGAUGAUGAGG